UUAAGAGAGAACCAUAGAAAAAGUUUUUCCAGUUUCAAAAGUUCUUCCUUCCCUCUUUUCUACUUAUUCUAAGAUCUAACAUUCUUCAUCAUUUUUUUAAGAAUUAACAGAGAAAAUCUUUACAAGGAGUUCUACAAUCGGUCAAACUUAAGUACUAUGGUGGUGGUGGUGCUAAAGGAAAACGUUGGUGGACUCAUUCUUUCAGGUGUAUAAUUUGGCACAGAAGCUACAGCAGUGCACUUCAUCCUCCCCCAUCCUUCAAUUCGCUAUUUUGGAACUUUUUUUAUGCACUUUGAAGUUUGCAUUGUCUGUUUACAAAUUGUGACAUGGAUGCUCAUUUGAAAAAUAUAUGUAUUAUUUUUCCUGAACUAGGGAUAAAAUACUUCACAAAAAAUAAAAUAGUAAUAGUAUGAGAAAAAUAAGAUUUCUGUAAUAAGUACAAAUUGGAAGAAUACAUUUUCAUUCUACUCACUUCCACCAGAACUUCCAUUCCAUCAUUGAAUACCCAAAUAUUGAAAGGUUUAUACUACAUUUCCACUCAUAAAAAUCAGAAAACGCCAAGAAAGAAAUUGGAGCACGCUAACAUUCAAGCAAACAAUGGGUGUCAUUUAAAAUACAUUAGAAAAAACUGCAGAAUUUUACAGAUAACUAAAAAAA
Molecule: long non-coding RNA, 657 nt
Organism: Vigna angularis (adzuki bean)
Lineage: Eukaryota; Viridiplantae; Streptophyta; Magnoliopsida; Fabales; Fabaceae
Exons: 3
Source: RefSeq, a predicted model, not a curated record